Molecule: ribosomal RNA, 432 nt
Filed under: uncultured bacterium
Lineage: Bacteria
Description: partial 16S ribosomal RNA
Rfam family: Bacterial small subunit ribosomal RNA
Source: RNAcentral
ACGAACGCUGGCGGCAUGCCUAACACAUGCAAGUCGAACGAGACCUUCGGGUCUAGUGGCGCACGGGUGCGUAACGCGUGGGAACCUGCCCUUAGGUUCGGAGUAACUCCCCGAAAGGGGUGCUAAUACCGGAUAAUGUCUUCGGACCAAAGAUUUAUCGCCUUUGGAUGGGCCCGCGUUGGAUUAGCUAGUUGGUAGGGUAAAAGCCUACCAAGGCGACGAUCCAUAGCUGGUCUGAGAGGAUGAUCAGCCACACUGGGACUGAGACACGGCCCAGACUCCUACGGGAGGCAGCAGUGGGGAAUAUUGGACAAUGGGCGAAAGCCUGAUCCAGCAAUGCCGCGUGAGUGAUGAAGGCCUUAGGGUUGUAAAGCUCUUUUACCCGGGAUGAUAAUGACAGUACCGGGAGAAUAAGCUCCGGCUAACUCCGUG